This 253-nucleotide ribosomal RNA is filed under the name uncultured bacterium. RNAcentral describes it as "partial 16S ribosomal RNA". It matches the Rfam family "Bacterial small subunit ribosomal RNA", at positions 524 to 776 of the family's 1533-position model. The record is from RNAcentral.
UACGUAGGUGGCAAGCGUUGUCCGGAUUUAUUGGGUUUAAAGCGUGCGCAGGCGGUUUUGUAAGUCAGGGGUGAAAUAUGUCAGCUUAACUGAGAGGGUGCCAUUGGUACUGCAGAACUUGAGUACAGAUGAGGUAGGCGGAAUUGACGGUGUAGCGGUGAAAUGCUUAGAUAUCGUCAAGAACACCUAUAGCGAAGGCAGCUUACUAGGCUGUAACUGACGCUGAGGCACGAAAGUGUGGGGAUCAAACAGG